ACGCUAGCGAUAGGCUUAACACAUGCAAGUCGAGGGGCAGCAUGGUCUUAGCUUGCUAAGACUGAUGGCGACCGGCGCACGGGUGCGUAACGCGUAUGCAACUUGCCUCACAGAGGGGGAUAACCCGUCGAAAGACGGACUAAUACCGCGUACACUCCACUUUGGGCAUCCAAAGUAGAGGAAAUGAAAUUCGCUGUGAGAUAGGCAUGCGUCCCAUUAGCUAGUUGGUGAGGUAACGGCUCACCAAGGCGACGAUGGGUAGGGGAACUGAGAGGUUGAACCCCCACACUGGUACUGAGACACGGACCAGACUCCUACGGGAGGCAGCAGUGAGGAAUAUUGGUCAAUGGGCGAGAGCCUGAACCAGCCAAGUCGCGUGAAGGAUGACUGUCUUAUGGAUUGUAAACUUCUUUUAUACGGGAAUAACAAGAGUCACGUGUGGCUCCCUGCAUGUACCGUAUGAAUAAGCAUCGGCUAACUCCGUGCCAGCAGCCGCGGUAAUACGGAGGAUGCGAGCGUUAUCCGGAUUUAUUGGGUUUAAAGGGUGCGUAGGCGGCCUGUUAAGUCAGCGGUGAAAUCUAGGAGCUUAACUCCUAAAUUGCCAUUGAUACUGGCGGGCUUGAGUGUAGAUGAGGUAGGCGGAAUGCGUGGUGUAGCGGUGGAAUGCAUAGAUAUCACGCAGAACUCCGAUUGCGAAGGCAGCUUACUAAGGUACAACUGACGCUGAAGCACGAAAGCGUGGGUAUCAAACAGGAUUAGAUACCCUGGUAGUCCACGCAGUAAACGAUGAUAACUGGGCGUAUGCGAUAUACAGUAUGCUCCUAAGCGAAAGCGUUAAGUUAUCCACCUGGGGAGUACGCCGGCAACGGUGAAACUCAAAGGAAUUGACGGGGGCCCGCACAAGCGG
Molecule: ribosomal RNA, 907 nt
Filed under: uncultured bacterium
Lineage: Bacteria
Description: bacterial SSU rRNA
Rfam family: Bacterial small subunit ribosomal RNA
Source: RNAcentral